GCGUGGCUUCCUCUUAAGAGAAAGGAAGGCAUUUUUGAGGAGCUUUGGUGAAGGCUGCCUUAAUUCCCCUUAAUCACAACUGGGUUCAUAACCAGCCUGGACUCAACCCCUGCUGGAGAGACUGAUGCAAGGUCAGGCUCACCCCUGGAGUGUCGGAGGGGAGAGGACGCAGAAAAUCAUUACCUCUUCUGGGAAGGAGAAAAGAAAAGGAAUGGAUCGACUACAUCUUAUCUAGACGGCCAGCUCAAGAGCCUGUGUGAAUGGAAGAGUAAAGAGCUGGCUCCAGUUUCUAAUGCACUGACUGUGUGAUCCUAAACAAAUUCUCACAAGAGGAAAUACUAGACCCUGGAACUGGUCUGUCCUAUUUAAAACUGUAUUUCCAGGCCCCAGGAAAGUUCCUGUACAUACAGUAUGUCACAAAUACUGGUUACAAGAAUGAAUUAAUAAUACCUAUAUCA
This is a long non-coding RNA of Suricata suricatta (meerkat), 458 nucleotides long. RefSeq lists it as uncharacterized. The record is from RefSeq and is a predicted model, not a curated record. The transcript has 2 exons. Lineage: Eukaryota; Metazoa; Chordata; Mammalia; Carnivora; Herpestidae.